UGAAUUUCAGAGUGCCUUUUAUUACCUGGUACUUCACAUGUUCAAAACAGAUCUCAUUUUGAUUCCAGCUGCGAAUCCUCAACAGUUCAGUCUUCAAGAUCUCCAGAUAUGCUGUACGAAUAAGGAUAAGAAAGUAAAGGAAAUAACCUUUCUCCUCUUUCUUUCUCUGGUGUCUGCACAUAGGGAGACAGAGGACACAGGCUGAAGAGCUUGAACACAUAGUUCAUUCAUGGAAUAAAUUUCUUCAAAAUUCAGGGAGUAUGUUUAAUAUCCAGGGUCCUUUGGAAAUAAAUAGGAACCAAUCCACUGUGAAGGACGCAGCACUCCCGAGCAGGAAAGACAUUGCACAUUCAGAGAGAUGUUGCAUGUGAAGACACUGCAAAAAAGAAAAAAAG
RNAcentral lists this long non-coding RNA (395 nucleotides) under Strigops habroptila (Kakapo). RNAcentral's name for it is "lncRNA (ENSSHBG00005018080.1)". Lineage: Eukaryota; Metazoa; Chordata; Aves; Psittaciformes; Psittacidae. The record is from RNAcentral.